CCCAAGCAUCUGUGCCCCCUGCAGAGCACAUCUGCUGAUGGGAGGUCAGGCGUGGGGCUGAGUGUCCACUGCCCCCAGCAAGACCAGCCAAGUCCUAGAGCCCUGGCCCUGCUGUGGCACCCAGUGCCCUGGUGCAGACAGCGAGGCGUCUUUGAAGUGAAGCUCGGGAUUGACGUGUGAACACCCAGCUCUUGGGAGUGUCUGCUCAGAGGGAAUGAUUUAUUUGAGGAGGGGCUGUGUAGCUUGUGUAUCAGCAGAGGCGCCGCUGGGAACAAAACGAAAGCCUUUGCAAAACGUGGCCGCAAAAACUCUUCAAAGGUGGAAGGAGUUAGUUGAAGUCCCACACACUAUCCGAUAUUAUAAACAGCUGUUCCACCCACACUACGGUCAAAGCAGCAGCAUGCUGAUCCCUGCGAAGGUGUGUGAGUAUUUUGUCAUUGAUGAAGCCAGGCCACGUACAGCAUGAGGAAUAUGCCAAAGCCAAAGACCGCCUUGGAGCUCACCCUUCCCUCGGUCCCCAAAGUUCGGAAUCGUGGACCGUUAGCAAGAACUCUCUGGCUGAUCGUUAUUGGCUCAGGUCUCAAACCACACGGAGCUUUAUUGACUGAAAAUACAAUACUGAAUUUUUCCCACUAGUUACAAGAACAGAAUCCCUCGGUAUCGUGGGGAUUGGUUCCAGGACCCCUGCAGAUACCAAAAUCCACGGAUGCUCAGGUGCCUUAUGUAAAACGGCACAGUACAAUCGGCCCUCUGUAUCCAGGGUUUCUGCACCUGUGGACUUAACCAACUGUUGAAUGCAUUGAAGGUUUGUGGCAGCUCUGCAACGAGCAAGUCUAUCAGCUCCAGUUUCCCGACAGCGUUUGCUCACUUCUCUGCGUCAGGUUUUGGCCCCUCCCUGUUCCCCGACACGCAGCAAUAUUGAAAUUAGGCCAGUUAAUAACCCCACAAUGGCUCUAAGUGUUCAAGUGAAAGGAAGACUCCCACGUCUCUCACUUUAAAUCAAAAGCUAGAAAAAAUUAAGCUUCCUGAGGAAGGCAUGUCGAAAGCUGAGUCAGCCGAGCUGUGAGUGCAAAGGAAAAGUUCUUCAAGGAAAUUAAAAGUGCUACUUCAGUGAACACAGGAAUGAUAAAAAUGCCAAAUAGCCUUCUUGCUGACUGCAGAAAGUCUCGGUGUCUGGAUAGAAGCUGAAAGCAGCCACAACACUCCCUUAAGCCAAAGUCUAGUGCAGAGCGAGGCCCUGACUCUCUUCAGUUCUGUGAAGGCUGAGAGAGGUGAGGAAGCUGCAGGAGAAAAGUCUGAAGCCAGCGAGGUCGGUUCAUGAGGUUUCAGGAAAGAAGCCGCCUCCGUCACAUGAAAGUAUAUGAGGAAGCAGCAGGUGCUGGUGUAGAAGCUGCAGCAAGUUAUCCAGAAGAUCCAGCUAAGAGAAUUCAUGAAGCUACACUGAACAACAGAUUUUCAAUGCAGAUGAAACAGCCUCCUAUUGGAAGACGCCAUCUAGGACUUGCACAGCUAAAG
Molecule: non-coding RNA, 1515 nt
Organism: Kogia breviceps (pygmy sperm whale)
Lineage: Eukaryota; Metazoa; Chordata; Mammalia; Artiodactyla; Physeteridae
Source: RefSeq, a predicted model, not a curated record